Molecule: RNA transcript, 400 nt
Organism: Aethalodelphis obliquidens (Pacific white-sided dolphin)
Lineage: Eukaryota; Metazoa; Chordata; Mammalia; Artiodactyla; Delphinidae
Gene name: metallothionein-1E pseudogene
Exons: 1
Source: RefSeq, a predicted model, not a curated record
CCCCCUCAAUGUCCUUGCCAUCUUUUGUGCUACAGUCUCUGGACCCCAGCCUCUGCUUCCUCUCGCCAUGGAUCCCAACUGCUCCUGUGCCACAGGUGGAUCCUGCACGUGUGCCAGCUCCUCCAAAUGCAAAGAGUGCAAAUGCACCUCCUGCAAAAAGAGCUGCUGCUCCUGCUGCCCUGUGAGCUAUGCCAAGUGUGCCCAGGGCUGUGUCUGCAAAGGGGCCUCAGACGAGGGCAGCUGCUGCGCCUGAAGGAGGGAAGAGCCUGCUCCCAGGUGUAAAUAGAGCAACGUGCACAAACCUGCAUUUUUUUUUUAUACAACCUGACACGUUUGCUACAUUCCUCUUUUUUUUUUUUUUGUCCUAUAAAAUACAAGAAUGAUAAUAAAAGUGGUUGGC